AACGAACGCUGGCGGCGUGCCUUACACAUGCAAGUCGAACGGUAGCGCGGGGCAACCUGGCGACGAGUGGCGAACGGGUGAGUAAAGCAUCGGAACGUGCCCUGGAAUGGGGGAUAACGUAGCGAAAGUUACGCUAAUACCGCAUAUUCUGUGAGCAGGAAAGCAGGGGACCGCAAGGCCUUGCGCUCUUUGAGCGGCCGAUGUCAGAUUAGCUAGUUGGUGAGGUAACGGCUUACCAAGGCGACGAUCUGUAGCGGGUCUGAGAGGAUGAUCCGCCACACUGGAACUGAGACACGGUCCAGACUCCUACGGGAGGCAGCAGUGGGGAAUUUUGGACAAUGGGGGCAACCCUGAUCCAGCCAUGCCGCGUGAGUGAAGAAGGCC
This 384-nucleotide ribosomal RNA is filed under the name uncultured bacterium. Its description in RNAcentral is "bacterial SSU rRNA". It matches the Rfam family "Bacterial small subunit ribosomal RNA", at positions 29 to 416 of the family's 1533-position model. The record is from RNAcentral.